Dama dama (fallow deer) is the source of this 1099-nucleotide long non-coding RNA. RefSeq lists it as uncharacterized. The transcript is spliced from 3 exons. NCBI's taxonomy places the organism in Eukaryota, Metazoa, Chordata, Mammalia, Artiodactyla, Cervidae. The record is from RefSeq and is a predicted model, not a curated record.
GUCACUGCCUUCCCUCUCUGAGCCGGCCCUGAGGGGUGAGUGUGGACUCCACCUAGUUCCAGAGGGAAUCCCAGAAGAGCUGAGCUUUUCCCGAGCUCCUCAAGGAAAGAGACCAGCCUUACCCCAUCCUGAGAGUCCUGGGUGACGGGACAGGAGUAGUGAGGGCAUGUGGGAUGUUUGCUCUCCAACCAAAGAUGGAACCCAGGCCCCCUGCAUUGGAAGAUGCCAUUCUUGCUUGAGUGAUUAUGAGCAUCGUGGGAGUUGAUUGCAGCUGGGUGGUCUCCACCGGUGCAGGGCUCCAGGCGCCUGCUUCAGCUGUUUGCAUGCCGCUUCAUUUGGGAUCAUCCUCUGGGUCCAGAACAGAAAGUGACCUCAGAGAUGAGUCCAUCUCUACAGUGUCCUGGGGCCGCUGCAGCCAAGGGCCACCCACUGUGCCGCUCAAACAACUGGAUCUCCUCUUCCACAGUCUGGAGGCCAGAAGUCUGAGGUCAAAGGACGGACAGGGCUGUGGUCCUUCUGAGAGCUCUGGGGGAGGGUCCUUCCUUGUUCCUUCCAGCAUCCGGUGGAGACCAGCAGUCCUUGGCCUCCGGUGGUUUGUGAGCAUCAGCUCAUCUCUGCCUCCGUCAUCAUGUGGCUUCCUCCUGGGCACCUAUGUCCACUUCUUCUAAGCACACCCAUCAUUGGACUGCAGGCCCACCCAAAUCCAUCAUGACCUCAUCUUCAGUUGAUUUUACCUGCAACCUGUUUCCACGUAAGACCACAUUGUGAUAUUCAGGUUGGACAUGAAAGAUCGAGGAAUCCUAUUCAACACUCUACACCAUCCUACAACCCCACAUCAGGAUGAAGAAUCCGAUUUACACUGUGAGAUUUAUCAGACUAGUUAGUUUCAGAGCCUGGACCAUAACUCAGUGACCACAUUCUCACCUAAUAUUCCUUCCAGCAUUUCAAUAAACACUGACUGCUAGGAAGUCCAUGUGAAUUCCACCAGGUCUUCAAUACCACUGCCCACUGCCUGCAAAAAGUACAGCAGACCCUGCUUUUACCUUGCUUGUUACAGCCCAGGCUGUCCUGCUUGUCCAGGAUGAAAGGAGCAGUUUCC